AAUCAACGCUGGCGGCGUGCCUAACACAUGCAAGUCGAACGCGAAAGCCCCGCAAGGGGUCAGUAGAGUGGCAAACGGGUGAGUAACACGUGGGUGACCUGCCUUCGAGUGGGGGAUAACGUCCCGAAAGGGACGCUAAUACCGCAUGACAUCCUGCUUUUGAAAAAGCGGAGAUCAAAGCUGGGGAUCGCAAGACCUAGCGCUUGAAGAGGGGCCCGCGCCUGAUUAGCUAGUUGGUGAGGUAACGGCUCACCAAGGCGACGAUCAGUAUCCGGCCUGAGAGGGCGGACGGACACACUGGGACUGAGACACGGCCCAGACUCCUACGGGAGGCAGCAGUGGGGAAUUGUUCGCAAUGGGCGCAAGCCUGACGACGCAACGCCGCGUGGAGGACGAAGAUCUUCGGGUCGUAAACUCCUGUCGAGCGGGGCGAACGCUUCGCGGAUGAAUAAUCCGCGGAAUUGACGGUACCGCUAAAGGAAGCCCCGGCUAACUCCGUG
Molecule: ribosomal RNA, 500 nt
Filed under: uncultured bacterium
Lineage: Bacteria
Description: partial 16S ribosomal RNA
Rfam family: Bacterial small subunit ribosomal RNA
Source: RNAcentral